GAUCCCAGCUGCCAUUUCUGACCUGCUCAGAACCAGCUUCAUGAUGGGCUCAAAGACCCAGGACCAGGUGCUCUUGUGACUUCUCUGACUUCAGUCCUUCUGGAGUCAGAUCACCCAGCUUCUCUGAUGAGUGACUGGUCAUUUUUAAAGCAUGCCUGCAGCAGUCUUCAAGAGGUUUCUGCCUGGGCAUCACAAUCAGCACACAUUUGCUCAUACACAUACCAGGUGAUGAGGACUCAACCACUGCAGACAGGCAGAGCCAUGCAAAUAAAGCCAUCCAGCAAGGUCACCUUUUCCUCAGAUGCCCCAGUUUCAGGAUGAUAGAAUUUGCAUAUUAAGUGUUAAUAGGCCUGGCAAUAACCAGCUUUUGCUUCCCUUCCUCAAUGAGGGACAUGCCAGAAACAGACUUGCACACAGGCUCUGCUCAUAUGGGAAACAGGCCUGACACACAGGGUCUGCUCAUAUGGGAAAAUGAUUUCAGUCACAGUCCUUAGCUCCAAAUUCUGUACUUGGAACCUAGAUUAUAAUCUAGCUCCUAAUCAAACUAGAUUCUGCUCCAGUUCAGUUUACUAAGGCAUUCCCUCUAAGCUGCCUCAGUGAAACCAGUGAGAGCCACUGGAUUACAAUUCUAAGUGCAGCUGUGCCUAAGAAGGAGAGAGUCCCACAGGAGAGGAGACCGGAGGGCAUAAGGCAGGGGAUGAUACAAAAUCCUGGACAGUCAUCACAUCAGUAACACAGCUUCAGAAAGUGGUGGGCUUGGAGGAGGGGAGAGAAAGAAACAAAAUGUCCCAAUAAUUUAAUGGCAGAGCUAGAAGAGAGCAUUUACAGCUAUUUUGGGACUCUCCAACAGAACACUUUUCCUGGAUGCACAGACAUUCAUAAUACUGGUAACUCUCAUCAACAGCUC
Long non-coding RNA from Homo sapiens (human), 907 nucleotides. The record is from Ensembl. Lineage: Eukaryota; Metazoa; Chordata; Mammalia; Primates; Hominidae.